Non-coding RNA from Doryrhamphus excisus (bluestripe pipefish), 4255 nucleotides. The record is from RefSeq and is a predicted model, not a curated record. NCBI's taxonomy places the organism in Eukaryota, Metazoa, Chordata, Actinopteri, Syngnathiformes, Syngnathidae.
GAAAGUUUUAUUUGAACCCCAAUUAAUGUUUCUAAACGGUAACACUGUAUGUGACAUGCUUGUGUACUACAAGACCCAGAAUGCAUUGCGAUAACUGGUGACUCGUCACAGCCGUUAACUUGUUCCUGUCCGCAUCCGUCGCCCUUAAAUUCGAAUCAACUUGAGCGCACGCACGGCCUUGGCUCGAGACACGUUAGCCUGAGCCAUCACCAGCUCGAUAUCCCUCUGCUCCAGACCCCCCUCGUCCACCUGGAAACGGACACUAAACGAGCUCCUACCUGGUCCAGGGAGCCCCGGCUCCUCCUCUCCCUGCCCUGGAUGCUUGUUGGCGGGGACAGAUCUAUGAGCGCUCUCCCCCGGCAUGCUUCUCUUCUGGCUCUGGCUCUGACGCAACAAUAAAAGCCAGAACAGACAAGUCAAGCUCUGACUGGAUCUUAUGGAGAUGAUGUCAGCAGAUUUCUGCGACUCAAUGCUGCCCCUCACCUGCAAAGAAAGCCUGUCCAUCAACGUCGGCGACAUGUAUUGUCCCUUGGCGAUGAGCGCGCUAACGGUUUUGGCAUCGGAGAUUUCAGUCCAGCGUAGCUCCAACUGUUUCAGCGCCGCGUUGACGAUCGCCACGUCCUGCUGCCCCUUCCUGCCGGUCCCCCACUCGGCCAGGAACGCCACCUGCUUGUAGUUGAGCCUACGGAUUCGCCACAUGACCUCGGUUUGGAUGGAACCCAACACCGGAUCAGAGUUGGGGACGCCCAUGACCCAGAGCGCUCGCAAGACGGACACGAGGGUGCUGUUCCACACGGACGGCGUCUGGAAGAGAAACAACUCUUAUGAGCACGUGUUUGAUUCCGCUUAGCGAAUAAAAGUUCCUUACGUGCUCCGUUAUCGUAUCCAUGAUGUCACGCAGCCUUGAGUCCAUUCCUGAUGAGUCUUGGUAAAACCUGACCCGCGUCUUCUGCACCAACUUAAUCCAAGCCAACAAAGUACUAGCAGCUUGGUUAGCAUUUCCGCCGUGUUGUUCCCACGCGAUCAAAAUGUCCUCCGGCUCCGUCGCCUUCUCCACCGUCUCAUCCAACUGCGUGCGAAUCGGCAUCAUCGGGAAAGCGUCGUCUUUCGGCAUCAGCCUGCCGUCACACAACCACCUCUUGGACACCAAAGCGCAACACCGAGUCCUCUGGAGCUCAGGCAUCCUGGCUGCUGAUGGGGGCGGGCGGGCGGCUGGAGUCUGGGAGGUGGCCCGACACAGGAGGCGGGCGUACCUGCCCAGGAAACGGGUCGCCAUCGGGGUGAAGUGAUGAGGUUAGGCGGCACCGGGCUCUUAGGAGAGAACGUUCCCACUAUUCAGCAGACCCAAGACACCAUUCCACAUUAAACCUGAAACGGCAAAGGACAACACAAUGAUUUAUUACCGUCAACAAAAUGUGAUAAAAAUCAUUCCUAACUCAUAUACUCCAUCUUGUCCCACUGUGACAUGGAGUUAUCUAAACGGGACACCCAAGAGUCUCCGGCAUAGAACGUCACGUAACGUCAAAUGCUGACCUUGUCGCGGAGAGGAAGAGCUCCCAAAGCAGCACUUUCGCCUCUUCUCGCGGGACUUUUCGCAAACAACAGCCGCCGGCGACGAAGCGCAGCACCGUCGGCCGUCACAAAAAGGCACAAUUCAUGUGAAAAAUGAAUGACAUACUUGCUUAAAAGCGCUUCACAUGGAAGAGUGUGCCGAGAGGGGGCUGUCGCGGGGAAAUGACGUAGACGGAAGUAAUACGUCAAUUCUGGACGCUCGUGGACUAAAAAAAAAAGAAAUAAAUAGCUUUCCAUUUUUUUUUAUUUUAAUCAAUUAUUUUGACGAGCAUUUUUUAAAUUAACAUAGAAUAGCUGUUCUUCUGUUGAACAUUAAUCGUCGACUAAAGCCAAUGAGUAAUACCGCCCCCUACGGGACUGGAGUACUGUAUCUAGUUACUUUGUGGGUAUUCAUCUUGAAUUCAAUGCAUUUGCUGUUUUUCGUUUAUUUUUAUCAUACCGCAAUAAAGCAUUGUUAUUUUCCACACCCUGUAUAAAUAUUUAAGGUAUAAAAACACAUGUAAAUUACUAAUUACAACCAACAAAUGUUGCCAGUGUACUACGCUUAGUAGUGGUUACGUUUAUUUAUGAAGAAUGAAAGUUAUUAAAAUUAAUCGUAUGUAAUCUUCUGAUUGAAGCGAGGCUCGACUGAGAAAUAAUCGAGCUGCACUUGAACACAACCCACGUGCAUGAAGAUGCAGCCAUAAUGUGACGUAGUUACAAAACAUACUUGCUAUUCCGUCUAGUGACCAGCAGAGGGCGUGAGCGUCCAAUGUUGCUGCGACCAUUCAGUUGACUGGUCGCUAUAUAACAAUAUAAAUGGUUUUUUUUUAUAAGAUUAAACAUUUUAAUGCUGUUUAAUGUGUAUUUUUACUAUUAUAUUCAUACAUGUUUUAGUAUAAAUAUGUUUGCUAUUGAAUAUAGUCCACAAGACAGCUAAGCCAGACUAACAAUUUGUCAAUAAAUGACCCACAACUAUAACUGAAUUCAGCAUUUUUUUAAUAAUUAACUAAAAAAAAAAUGUAUAUAAAAAUCUGUACAUCAGCAAAAAGAAACCAAUCAACAGAAUACAGGUUUUAGCGAUGAUCUUUCACCACCAACACCCUGUUACAGCAGUUACACAACAAGAUGCUGACGUGUCCUCCAGUAGUACUGCUAGUUAGAAGAAACCUUAGGAGCUUUGGUGGCACAAAAACAAAAGUGAGUGGAGUUCUAUCCUGAGUGGAACGCUUGAUUGGAGGAAAGAUGGCUGCAUUAAACCACAUUAUUAGCACUUGAACGCCAACCAUGCUACCGCAAUGACUUCUGAAGUCAAAGGCACUUCCAGUAACGUUUGGCCUUAUUAGCCUGCAUAGGAGGAGAGGUUGGCCGUUCCAUAUUGCAUAUUUCUCGGGAUUGAUUUUUUUUUAUGUUAAGGCAGAAAAAUAUGAUUCAAAUUCUCGAUGGGAGGUAAAAGAAAGUCCCUUGAGGAAUAUAAUGAUUGUGCGGGAAACGAGUGGCGUAGCGUGUCAUUUCACAUUGUGGUUAAAUGCCGCUGGAGUCAUAGCAUGAAAGAUUCUCAGCAACAUAGCACACGUCAAUAAAACAAAACAAAAACAAAACGAUGGCACAUUAAGCUACUGUGGAAAUAAAUGUUUUCCAUGAGGUCAUGGUAAUGGUAACGGUUCUAUUUCAUUUGAACAUGCAUCAGAUUACAAUUGAAUCCAUCCCAUAAUCAGUUCACAGUUCCACAUGUCCAAAAGGAGUAGGAAGAAGCAAAGCUUAUUAAAUCCUACCCCUCCAUCUGGUACUUUUACAAUCAGUAACUGUUACAUUUGUUCACUUCCUGCUUUCCUAAUAUAGUUUAAGUGAUUUAUUUUAUUUUGUUUUAAUGAUUUAUUUUAGUUUUAUUUUUUAUUAAAUCCUACCCCUCCAUCUGGUACUUUUACAACUAGUAACUGUUACAUUUGUUCACUUCCUGCUUUCCUAAUAUAAUUUAAGUGAUUUAUUUUAUUUUGUUUUAGUGAUUUAUUUUAGUUUUAUUUUUAUUAAAUCCUACCCCUCCAUCUGGUACUUUUACAAUCAGUAACUGUUACAUUUGUUCACUUCCUGCUUUCCUAAUAUAAUUUUAGUGAUUUUAUUUUGUUUUAAUUAUUUUAGUUUUAUUUUAAGUUAUUUUUAUUAAAUCCUACCCCUCCAUCUGGAACUUUUACAAUCAGUAACUGUUACAUUUGUUCACUUCCUGCUUUCCUAAUAUAAUUUUAGUGAUUUUAUUUUGUUUUAAUUAUUUUAGUUUUAUUUUAGUUUAUUUUUAUUAAAUCCUACCCCUCCAUCUGGUACUUUUACAAUCAGUAACUGUUACAUUUGUUCACUUCCUGCUUUCCUAAUAUAAUUUAAGUCAUUUAUUUUAUUUUAAUUUUUGUUUUAUUUUUGUUUUAUUUUAUUUAUGUCACGUACCGAAGUACGAGGUGAUAUGAGCAUCCAAUGACAUAAUGUGUACCAUAGUGCGUGUCAAUAUAGUGAUAUAUAUAGCACAUCAUGACUGGUUCAAGACUCUUCAUCCUUGUAUUUAGCAAACAUCAACUGCUUGUAUUGUUUCUUGAAUUGGCUCAUCGUUGUGCAUUGUUUGAUUUCCUUACUCAAUCCAUUCCAUAGUUUGAUUCCACAUACUGAAAUGCUAUGGCUUUUUAACGUAGUCCUAGCAUAAAAGUGUUUCAAAUGUACU